Molecule: ribosomal RNA, 460 nt
Filed under: uncultured bacterium
Lineage: Bacteria
Description: partial 16S ribosomal RNA
Rfam family: Bacterial small subunit ribosomal RNA
Source: RNAcentral
CCUACGGGCGGCAGCAGUGAGGAAUAUUGGUCAAUGGACGAGAGUCUGAACCAGCCAAGUAGCGUGAAGGAUGACUGCCCUAUGGGUUGUAAACUUCUUUUAUAUGGGAAUAAAACGUUCCACGUGUGGGAUUUUGUAUGUACCAUAUGAAUAAGGAUCGGCUAACUCCGUGCCAGCAGCCGCGGUAAUACGGAGGAUCCGAGCGUUAUCCGGAUUUAUUGGGUUUAAAGGGAGCGUAGGUGGAUUGUUAAGUCAGUUGUGAAAGUUUGCGGCUCAACCGUAAAAUUGCAGUUGAAACUGGCAGUCUUGAGUACAGUAGAGGUGGGCGGAAUUCGUGGUGUAGCGGUGAAAUGCUUAGAUAUCACGAAGAACUCCGAUUGCGAAGGCAGUUCACUGGACUGCAACUGACACUGAGGCUCGAAAGUGUGGGUAUCAAACAGGAUUAGAUACCGCUGUAGUC